UACACUUUGGACACAACCCAG
This 21-nucleotide unclassified non-coding RNA is filed under the name Mus musculus (house mouse). RNAcentral's name for it is "oocyte_clustered_small_RNA508". The record is from RNAcentral. Lineage: Eukaryota; Metazoa; Chordata; Mammalia; Rodentia; Muridae.